This 253-nucleotide ribosomal RNA is filed under the name uncultured bacterium. Its description in RNAcentral is "partial 16S ribosomal RNA". It matches the Rfam family "Bacterial small subunit ribosomal RNA", at positions 524 to 776 of the family's 1533-position model. The record is from RNAcentral.
UACGAAGGGGGCUAGCGUUGUUCGGAAUUACUGGGCGUAAAGCGUGCGCAGGCGGUUCGUUAAGUUCGAUGUGAAAGCCCCGGGCUCAACCUGGGAACUGCAUUGGAAACUGGCGGGCUUGAGUGUGGCAGAGGGGGGUGGAAUUCCACGUGUAGCAGUGAAAUGCGUAGAGAUGUGGAGGAACACCGAUGGCGAAGGCAGCCCCCUGGGCUAACACUGACGCUCAGGCACGAAAGCGUGGGGAGCAAACAGG